AGUGAACGCUGGCGGUAGGCCUAACACAUGCAAGUCGAACGGCAGCACAGUAAGAGCUUGCUCUUACGGGUGGCGAGUGGCGGACGGGUGAGGAAUACAUCGGAAUCUACUUUUUCGUGGGGGAUAACGUAGGGAAACUUACGCUAAUACCGCAUACGACCUACGGGUGAAAGCAGGGGAUCUUCGGACCUUGCGCGAUUGAAUGAGCCGAUGUCGGAUUAGCUAGUUGGCGGGGGAAAGGCCCACCAAGGCGACGAUCCGUAGCUGGUCUGAGAGGAUGAUCAGCCACACUGGCACUGAGACACGGUCCAGACUCCUACGGGAGGCAGCAGUGGGGAAUAUUGGACAAUGGGCGCAAGCCUGAUCCAGCCAUACCGCGUGGGUGAAGAAGGCCUUCGGGUUGUAAAGCCCUUUUGUUGGGAAAGAAAAGCAGCAGGUUAAUACCCCGCUGUUCUGACGGUACCCAAAGAAUAAGCACCGGCUAACUUCGUG
RNAcentral lists this ribosomal RNA (492 nucleotides) under uncultured bacterium. RNAcentral describes it as "partial 16S ribosomal RNA". It matches the Rfam family "Bacterial small subunit ribosomal RNA", at positions 29 to 507 of the family's 1533-position model. The record is from RNAcentral.